Molecule: long non-coding RNA, 537 nt
Organism: Nicotiana tabacum (common tobacco)
Lineage: Eukaryota; Viridiplantae; Streptophyta; Magnoliopsida; Solanales; Solanaceae
Source: RefSeq, a predicted model, not a curated record
UAUUACAUCGCAUCAUUAUCUCUCAAUGAAUAGCAUACAUCACUUACAAAAAACUUUUCACCUAUUGGUUUUCCUCAAUUAAAUAAAUUUCCAUGGCUUCAUCUGUCUCUACAUAAUAAUCCAAUAAUGGUUGCUACCUUUGCAAGGUGUAACCUUUCAAUUUCAUAUUUAUGGAGAAAAAAGAACUACUACAAUCUCCUGUAGUGAGCAGAGACUUAUCUACAAAUAUAGGCUCCCUUCCUGUCAUAAAACAUAACUUCCAGGCAAUGGUUCUUUCGGCCAGAAGAUGAAUGGAGUCAACACAACGUUAAGAGGCUUAUUGUACAUCUCUUUGGGUUAACCGAAGAAUUUCUUCUAUUGUGCUGCAAAAGAAUGUGGUAGUACAAGAAAUUUAAAAGUUUUUUAUUACUCUAGGUUCUAAUUUGGAGAAAUAUAUUUUUGUAAAGAUUGGAGAAACACAUAAACAUUACACUUAUGCAAGAUGAUGUGUCACUUCUUUUAGGCCAAGGAUAUUGGAUUUAUCUUUUUUCUCCUUUU